GCCGAGUGGUCUAAGGCGCCAGACUCAAGUUCUGGUGGAGAGAUCCUCGUGGGUUCGAAUCCCAC
Molecule: non-coding RNA, 65 nt
Organism: Perkinsus chesapeaki
Lineage: Eukaryota; Perkinsozoa; Perkinsida; Perkinsidae
Source: the annotation of a GenBank genome assembly